UACGAAGGGAACUAGCGUUGUUCGGAAUCACUGGGCGUAAAGCGGGCGCAGGCGGACUAUCAAGUCAGAGGUGAAAUCCCAAGGCUCAACCUUGGAAUUGCCUUUGAAACUGAUAGUCUGGAGUGUGUGAGGGGAUAGCGGAAUUCCGAAUGUAGAGGUGAAAUUCGUAGAUAUUCGGAGGAACACCGGUGGCGAAGGCGGCUAUCUGGCACACAACUGACGCUGAGGUCCGAAAGCGUGGGGAUCAAACAGG
Molecule: ribosomal RNA, 253 nt
Filed under: uncultured bacterium
Lineage: Bacteria
Description: partial 16S ribosomal RNA
Rfam family: Bacterial small subunit ribosomal RNA
Source: RNAcentral